This 1973-nucleotide long non-coding RNA is filed under the name Homo sapiens (human). RNAcentral's name for it is "HSALNT0405438". The record is from RNAcentral. Lineage: Eukaryota; Metazoa; Chordata; Mammalia; Primates; Hominidae.
AUCAAGAUGGAGCAGGGUAUAGAGAAGCCAUUAGGGAUGAUACAGAACACCACCAAAGGGUUAGUAACGGUGGGGAACUGUUUGCACCCCGAAGCCUGAAAGAGUGAAGUAGGGUGGGAUUACCUGGAAAGAGAGAGAGAGACAGAAGGAGAAUGAGAUUGAGGGAAGGGCUGCCUGGCAGGGGAAGCUGACGCCUUCAGGCAAGUGAAGAAGCCAGCCCGCAGCAACUCUGCAGGGAAGAAUAUAGGGAAAUAAACGCCUUCAUCUCUCUCUUGUCCCACCCGCAGAGCUCCUUCUGGGAUUCUCUAUUGGCUGAACUCAGCCAGAAGCUGCCAAGGGAGACCCCCACAACUGGAUGCAGCCCACUGAAGUCAGCUUCCUGGGGUGCGUAGCUGAAGGUAGCAGGGAGCAAAAAGAAUCUGAAGGGGAAGUGAACAAUGUAGAGCGUAUCUGUGCUGAAGACGUAAGGAGAGAGUGGAGGUCAGAAGCUGGCAUGGUCCCUGGUGCAUGUAUCAGCCGCUAAAGCUGGAGUGGAUGAAUCAGAACUUUCCCCAUGGGAGCAUUUAUAAAAAGGGGACACCCAGCGCAGAAGAUGUUUUCCAGGGAGAUCUCGGGGAGCCCAACAAGCCAAGAAGAGCAGAGCAAAGCAUUCCAAGGAAGGACUCUAAGUCUGCAACCGAGCACACACGAGAAGCAAGACUGACCUCCUUGGAACAGACUUUCUGGACAAUUUGCUGGCAGAGGAAGAGACCACAAGAGGAAAAAAGUGGACUUCCUGGUAAUUUAGGGGUUUGAUUAACAAAUUUGAAUAUUUAAAAGAGAUGUUAUUUUCACUAAAGAAGAUAGCUAAAUGGUAAAUAAGCCUAUUCAACAUUAUUAGUCAUCAAAGAAAUUCAAGUUAAAACUACAAUGACAUAUCACCACACACCCUUGAAAAUGGCUAAAAUAAGGACUGAUAUUAUCAAGUGUUGGGGAAGAUGUGGAGCAACUAGAACUCUCAUACUCAAUUUGGGAGUGCAAAUUGGUUCAAUCUCUUUGGAAAACUGUUUAGCAGUAGCUACAAAAGCUGAAAGCAUAGACUGUGACCCAGUAAUUUCAUUUCUGGAUAUUACUACACAUAUAUACACAGGAAUGUUUAUAUAUUUCCACCAAAGUGCCUACGCAAGAAUAUUCAUAGCAGCACUAUCUGUAAUAGCCUAAAACUAGAAACUACCUAAAUGUCCAUCAACAGGUUAAAAAAAGAUAAAUUGUGGUAUGUUUCUAUAAUGCAUUGUUACUCAGAAAGAAGAAGGAUGAGGAGAAUGUAACAACAUGAAAGAAACUCACUGCCCUAAUAUUGAGCACAAGAAACCAGAAAUACAUACAGAAAAGUAUACCAUACUCAUUGUUCUAUUUAUAUGAAAUUCAAGAACUGGCUAAACUAAUCUAUGAUGACAGAAGUCAGAAUAUGAUUACUUUUGGAAGGAGGAGCAUUAACCAAAAUGGGACAUAAAGGAGGCUGUUGAGAUACCUGAAAUAUUCUUGUCAUAAUCUGGGUAGUGUUGUAUGGGUAUUGCCAUGUAUUAAAUUGUGUCUCCCCACACCUUCAAAUUCAUACUUUGAAGCCCUAUUCCCCAAUAUGGUUAUGUUUAAAACUAGGGCUUUUAGAAGGGAAUUAAGGUUAAAUGAGACCAUCGGUUCCCUGAUCCCAUAAGAUUAGCAUCCUUAUAAAAGAAACAGCAGAGUUUGUGCGCUCACUCUGUCUUUCACUCUCUGUUUCUCUGUCUGUCUCCCCCUCUCUCCCUCUCUUCCUCCUGCUCUCUGCAUGCAUAGCACAAGGAAAGACCAUGUGAAUACACAGCAAGAACGUGGUGCUCUGCAAGUCAGAAACAGACCCGUCAUCAGACACCAAAUCAGCCAGCACCUUGAUCUAGGAUUUCUGGCCUCCAAAACAGUGAGAAAAUAAAAUUCUGUUGUUUAAGCCAUGCAGCCUG